This 380-nucleotide ribosomal RNA is filed under the name uncultured bacterium. RNAcentral describes it as "bacterial SSU rRNA". It matches the Rfam family "Bacterial small subunit ribosomal RNA", at positions 29 to 433 of the family's 1533-position model. The record is from RNAcentral.
AACGAACGCUGGCGGCAGGCUUAACACAUGCAAGUCGAACGGGUGUAGCAAUACAUCAGUGGCAGACGGGUGAGUAACACGUGGGAACCUUCCUAGAGGUACGGAACAACUCAGGGAAACUUGAGCUAAUACCGUAUACGCUCUUGCGAGGAAAGAUUUAUCGCCUUUAGACGGGCCCGCGUCGGAUUAGCUAGUUGGUGGGGUAACGGCCUACCAAGGCGACGAUCCGUAGCUGAUCUGAGAGGAUGAUCAGCCACACUGGGACUGAGACACGGCCCAGACUCCUACGGGAGGCAGCAGUGGGGAAUCUUGGACAAUGGGCGCAAGCCUGAUCCAGCCAUGCCGCGUGAGUGAAGAAGGCCUUCGGGUUGUUAAAGGAC